AGGAACUCAUCGGUUCCGUCUUCUCCGAUUGCAAGAAAGGCCUUAGCAAGGUCAAUGGAGUAGUGUCUUGCCAUUCUGGUGCAAGGGAGGCAGUCCUCGGGCUAUGGGCGCACUGGCACGGUACGUGGAGGGCGGCGCGACUAUGUGUUAGGGUUUAGGUUUUUUUCUGAAUUAGUUUAGGUUUUUGGGCUAAUGGGUCUUUUUUGUAUUUGGGUUUAUAAUUUUUUGGGGUCUGUAAUUUUGGAACUGGACUGUUUAAUUAUUUUGGAAA
This is a long non-coding RNA of Gossypium arboreum, 271 nucleotides long. RefSeq lists it as uncharacterized. The transcript is spliced from 2 exons. The record is from RefSeq and is a predicted model, not a curated record. NCBI's taxonomy places the organism in Eukaryota, Viridiplantae, Streptophyta, Magnoliopsida, Malvales, Malvaceae.